RNAcentral lists this long non-coding RNA (458 nucleotides) under Phoenix dactylifera (date palm). Its description in RNAcentral is "long non-coding RNA (PDAC_LNC019484)". The record is from RNAcentral. Lineage: Eukaryota; Viridiplantae; Streptophyta; Magnoliopsida; Arecales; Arecaceae.
AGGAGCAAGUGAGCAGUCUUCAAAACCCGCCUUGCAUAGGAUUUAUUUAAUCUUCGAUGGUAAUGAGAUCGGCCCUCAAAACCUACUUCGAUGGUCACAGAGGAUGCUAGUUGCCAGAUCCGGCACUCCACCUUAAACUUCCGAGUUGAAAUGAAAUAUCCUAGCCUGCAGAUUUUCCAUGAAUGUAUUCCAUCCAGUUAAAGUUUUCUCCCUUUCCCUUAAAUCUAUUUCCAGUUCAAGAAAGUUCUACCAUCUUUUACAUUAAAAAAAAAAGAAGCUAAUGCAAAUCCUAGUUACAUUCUAGUUUCACCAAAUUUCAGCACAAACCACAGAUAAUGUACUUGCAUAAAAUUUGCCGAAAUUGAAAGCAAACCGAAAACUUUACCUUAUUCGAAAGGGCAGCAUUUUUUUCGGAUUUCGAGAAAGAAUCCUCGGCGCAACUCUUGACGGUCUCGACC